Molecule: transfer RNA, 24 nt
Filed under: Aporrectodea limicola
Lineage: Eukaryota; Metazoa; Annelida; Clitellata; Crassiclitellata; Lumbricidae
Description: partial tRNA-Asn
Source: RNAcentral
CCCGUGCUAUUAUAGCUCACUUAG